GAUGAACGCUAGCUACAGGCUUAACACAUGCAAGUCGAGGGGCAGCAUGGUCUUAGCUUGCUAAGGCCGAUGGCGACCGGCGCACGGGUGAGUAACACGUAUCCAACCUGCCGUCUACUCUUGGACAGCCUUCUGAAAGGAAGAUUAAUACAAGAUGGCAUCAUGAGUCCGCAUGUUCACAUGAUUAAAGGUAUUCCGGUAGACGAUGGGGAUGCGUUCCAUUAGAUAGUAGGCGGGGUAACGGCCCACCUAGUCUUCGAUGGAUAGGGGUUCUGAGAGGAAGGUCCCCCACAUUGGGUACUGAGACACGGGACCAAACUCCUACGGGAGGCAGCAGUGAGGAAUAUUGGUCAAUGGACGCAAGUCUGGGACCAGCCAUGCCGCGUGCAGGAAGACGGGCUCUAUGAGUUGUAAACUGGCUUUUGACUAGGGUAAACUCAGAUACGCGUAUCUGAC
This 456-nucleotide ribosomal RNA is filed under the name uncultured bacterium. RNAcentral's name for it is "bacterial SSU rRNA". It matches the Rfam family "Bacterial small subunit ribosomal RNA", at positions 28 to 469 of the family's 1533-position model. The record is from RNAcentral.